RNAcentral lists this ribosomal RNA (849 nucleotides) under uncultured bacterium. Its description in RNAcentral is "bacterial SSU rRNA". It matches the Rfam family "Bacterial small subunit ribosomal RNA", at positions 21 to 883 of the family's 1533-position model. The record is from RNAcentral.
GGCUCAGAAUGAACGUGGGCGGCGUGGAUUAGGCAUGCAAGUCGAGCGAGAACCCCGCAAGGGGGGACAGCGGCGCAAGGGACAGUAAUGUGUAGAUCAUCUGCCCUCAGGUCCGGGAUAGCUGCGGGAAACUGCAGGUAAUACCGGAUAACAUCUCCAGAUCAAAGGUGUGAUUCCGCCUGAGGAUGAGUCUGCAUCCUAUUAGCUAGUUGGCAGGGUAACGGCCUACCAAGGCAUUGAUGGGUAGCGGGUGUGAGAGCACGACCCGCGUCAUUGGGACUGAGACACUGCCCAGACACCUACAGGUGGCUGCAGUCGAGAAUCUUCGGCAAUGGGCGCAAGCCUGACCGAGCGACGCCGCGUGUGGGAUGAAGGCCUUCGGGUUGUAAACCACUGUCAGAGGGGAUGAAAUGCAGGUGGGUUCUCCCAUCUGUUUGACAUAGCCUCAGAGGAAGGACGGGCUAAGUUCGUGCCAGCAGCCGCGGUAAGACGAACCGUCCAAACGUUAUUCGGAAUUACUGGGCUUAAAGGGUGCGUAGGCGGCGCGGAAAGUUGGGUGUGAAAUCCCUCGGCUCAACCGAGGAACUGCGCCCAAUACUACCGUGCUUGAGGGAGAUAGAGGUGAGCGGAACUUAGGGUGGAGCGGUGAAAUGCGUUGAUAUCCUAAGGAACACCGGUGGCGAAAGCGGCUCACUGGAUCUCUUCUGACGAUGAGGCACGAAAGCUAGGGUAGCGAACGGGAUUAGAUACCCCGGUAGUCCUAGCCGUAAACGAUGAGCACUGGAUUGGAGGGUCCUCCAUAGCCUUCCAGUCGCAACGAAAGCGUUAAGUGCUCCGCCUGGCGAGUAU